This 305-nucleotide ribosomal RNA is filed under the name uncultured bacterium. RNAcentral's name for it is "partial 16S ribosomal RNA". It matches the Rfam family "Bacterial small subunit ribosomal RNA", at positions 508 to 808 of the family's 1533-position model. The record is from RNAcentral.
ACAGCAGUCGCCGCGGUAAAACGUAUGUCACAAGCGUUAUCCGGAUUUAUUGGGCGUAAAGCGCGUCUAGGUGGUUAUGUAAGUCUGAUGUGAAAAUGCAGGGCUCAACUCUGUAUUGCGUUGGAAACUGUGUAACUAGAGUACUGGAGAGGUAAGCGGAACUACAAGUGUAGAGGUGAAAUUCGUAGAUAUUUGUAGGAAUGCCGAUGGGGAAGCCAGCUUACUGGACAGAUACUGACGCUAAAGCGCGAAAGCGUGGGUAGCAAACAGGAUUAGAUACCCGGGUAGUCCCUGUCUCUUAUACA